This 496-nucleotide ribosomal RNA is filed under the name uncultured bacterium. RNAcentral describes it as "partial 16S ribosomal RNA". It matches the Rfam family "Bacterial small subunit ribosomal RNA", at positions 28 to 507 of the family's 1533-position model. The record is from RNAcentral.
GAUGAACGCUGGCGGCGUGCCUAAUACAUGCAAGUCGAGCGAACAGAUGAGGAGCUUGCUCCUCUGACGUUAGCGGCGGACGGGUGAGUAACACGUGGAUAACCUACCUAUAAGACUGGGAUAACUUCGGGAAACCGGAGCUAAUACCGGAUAAUAUAUUGAACCGCAUGGUUCAAUAGUGAAAGACGGUUUUGCUGUCACUUAUAGAUGGAUCCGCGCCGCAUUAGCUAGUUGGUAAGGUAACGGCUUACCAAGGCGACGAUGCGUAGCCGACCUGAGAGGGGGUUCGCCCAACCGGAACUGGAGAACCGUCCAGACUCCUUCGGGGAGGCACCGGUGGGAAACUUUCGGAAUGGGGGGAAACCUGGCGGAGCCACGGCGCGUGGGUUAAGAAGGUUCUCCGAUCGUAAAAACCUGUUUAUAGGGGAAAACCAAUGUGGAAGGAAACAAUGACCGCUUGACGGUACCUAAACAAGAAGCCACGGCUAACUACGUG